RNAcentral lists this ribosomal RNA (444 nucleotides) under uncultured Comamonadaceae bacterium. RNAcentral's name for it is "bacterial SSU rRNA". It matches the Rfam family "Bacterial small subunit ribosomal RNA", at positions 933 to 1382 of the family's 1533-position model. The record is from RNAcentral. Lineage: Bacteria; Pseudomonadati; Pseudomonadota; Betaproteobacteria; Burkholderiales; Comamonadaceae.
UGGAUGAUGUGGAUUAAUUCGAUGCAACGCGAAAACCUUACCCACCUUUGACAUGUACGGAAUCCUUUAGAGAUAGAGGAGUGCUCGAAAGAGAGCCGUAACACAGGUGCUGCAUGGCUGUCGUCAGCUCGUGUCGUGAGAUGUUGGGUUAAGUCCCGCAACGAGCGCAACCCUUGCCAUUAGUUGCUACGAAAGGGCACUCUAAUGGGACUGCCGGUGACAAACCGGAGGAAGGUGGGGAUGACGUCAAGUCCUCAUGGCCCUUAUAGGUGGGGCUACACACGUCAUACAAUGGCUGGUACAGAGGGUUGCCAACCCGCGAGGGGGAGCCAAUCCCAUAAAGCCAGUCGUAGUCCGGAUCGCAGUCUGCAACUCGACUGCGUGAAGUCGGAAUCGCUAGUAAUCGCGGAUCAGAAUGUCGCGGUGAAUACGUUCCCGGGUCUU